UCGGUUAGAACGAUUGAGAAGAAUAACGAAAGCCAAAAGGUUGGGUAAUCAUAUGGUCUCUCUUGCUAAAGCCUGAUAAAGAGCAUAUCAAUCACGUGAACUUGCAGCGGUGUUAGCGGAGAAACUAAUUUUAUCAGUGAACGAUUAUACGUGCUCCGCACGCGUAAGUUAUUCACGAGGAGCAAAGAUCGUGCCGUGAAAUAUAUUGAAUGUAUAUAUUCCAUUAUUGAAUGUAUAUAUAUACAUUAUUUUGUGUACAUAUAAAAUUAUAAAACGUGUGGUGAUAUUUCUCAAUAAAAUUACAUAUGGAUUUCAAUAGAUGAAAAAACAGAAAAAAAUUGGACGAUGUAUAACAAAUCUAAUUGUUGGAAAAAAAUGUGGGAAUAACGAAACAAUAGUAACAACGUUUAUUUUCGAGCAAGGAAUUAAACGAAAGAAAUUAUAAUGAAACGAAGUCUCGAACAUCCAACAUCGACGUAAAAGAAGAUAAAAAGGAUAUUUCGAUUAGAGUGAGGAGUUAGAAUGCGUCGUUAAAGUGGAAAAUAAUUUGGCAAUGAUGCAAAAAUUUAUUGCUUAUCAUCUUCAUCAUCAUCUUAUUCCAAUAUAGCUGAAAGAUCCUAUCUUUGAAAUCGAACGAGUGCGAAGUGCAACUUAGUCUCGCACGUUUCUAUUUUCGAGGAAAACUACGGAACGACGUCGCUUGACGCAAAUGGCGCCUAGUAAGAAACGGAUAGCGAAUAAGUGAGUGAACAAGUGAGUGAGAAAGAGACAGAAAGAGAAAAAGGAAAGUAUAAAAACGAAAAUACGUCACGAAAGUUUUAUUGAAUCGAUCUUAUUCCCUUGUAUUCUUAUUUAUGAGGUAUUAGAAAUUUAUAUUAGAAAUUUAUAUUCAGAGAGAAAGAGAGAGAGAGAGAGAGAGAGAAAGACGAAACGAGAAGAUUCGAUUUACAAAAAUGAUUCAUUGAAUCGAUUUAAAGAAAUCUGUGAAUCUAUGGAUGAAGAUGACUUGCGAAGACGCAAACAGAUCAUAAAUUUUUACCUCAACCAUAAAUUUGUGAUAAUUAUAACGAUUACGUAAUCCACGAGGCGUCCUUUGCUAGUAAUAAUUUUAAAACCCCACAUACUACACGAUACGUGUAUAUAUGUAGAUAUGUAUAAAUGUGUCUAUCUAUACAUGUCGAGUAUGUAUGAUGACGAGUAGAUAGAAUGAAUUAAUUUAUAUCGUUACAGUCCCGUGUUAGAAAGAGAGAAAAAAAGAAGAGAGAUAUACAAGAUAU
This is a long non-coding RNA of Vespula pensylvanica (western yellowjacket), 1277 nucleotides long. RefSeq lists it as uncharacterized. Lineage: Eukaryota; Metazoa; Arthropoda; Insecta; Hymenoptera; Vespidae. The transcript has 4 exons. The record is from RefSeq and is a predicted model, not a curated record.